AUUGAACGCUGGCGGCAUGCCUUACACAUGCAAGUCGAACGGCAGCGGGCCUUCGGGUGCCGGCGAGUGGCGAACGGGUGAGUAAUGCAUCGGAACGUGCCAUUGAGUGGGGGAUAACGUAGCGAAAGUUACGCUAAUACCGCAUAUUCUGUGAGCAGGAAAGCAGGGGACCGCAAGGCCUUGCGCUCUUUGAGCGGCCGAUGUCAGAUUAGCUAGUUGGUGAGGUAAAGGCUUACCAAGGCGACGAUCUGUAGCGGGUCUGAGAGGAUGAUCCGCCACACUGGAACUGAGACACGGUCCAGACUCCUACGGGAGGCAGCAGUGGGGAAUUUUGGACAAUGGGCGCAAGCCUGAUCCAGCCAUGCCGCGUGAGUGAAGGAAAGG
This 384-nucleotide ribosomal RNA is filed under the name uncultured bacterium. RNAcentral describes it as "bacterial SSU rRNA". It matches the Rfam family "Bacterial small subunit ribosomal RNA", at positions 30 to 416 of the family's 1533-position model. The record is from RNAcentral.